This 3138-nucleotide long non-coding RNA is filed under the name Sus scrofa (pig). RNAcentral's name for it is "lncRNA (ENSSSCG00000059642.1)". Lineage: Eukaryota; Metazoa; Chordata; Mammalia; Artiodactyla; Suidae. The record is from RNAcentral.
UGCAGCUCCUGCUGGUAGGUGGGUAGUUUGUGGGAGUCUGUGGAAGUUUUCUUCUGGUAUUCUCAAAUGUCUUAGAGAUGAAGGAAGCAGAGUAAUCAGCUGAGACGAAGGGUAUGAACUUGCCCUCUAGGAGAACAGGAGAGUGAAUGGACCGGGGGUGGGGGUGGGGGGAAUAUAUGAAUGCCAGGCAGCAUUGUGGGUCCACUUAAUGGUUAAUGAUCACAAACUCAAAAUGAGGCCAGUCAGCACAGUUGAGUCUCUCCCCAGGCAUAUUCAACUGUUCUGGUACAAAGAGUUGGUUUUGCUGAUAACCAAGAAUGACAAAGCUAGAAAGGGGCAAGGGACUUCAAGGGUUCUGAAGUAAUUACAACAUGAUGGUUGACCAGAGAAUUUAAGCUGAAUAAGGAGAGAAGAUAGGACCUCAAGUAAAAAGAGGGAAGGACCAAAUGGAUUAGAAAUCCCCAGGGGGAGUUCCCAUCACGGCUUAGUGGAAAUGAAUCUGACUAGCAUCCAUGAGGACGCUGGUUCGAUCCCUGGCCUUGCUCAGUGGGUUAAGGAUCUGGCAUUGCCAUGAGCUGUGUUGUUGGUCACAGAUGCAGUUUGGAUCCCGAGUUGCUGUGGCUGUGGUGUAGGCCUGCAGCUGUUGCUCUGAUUUGACCCCUAGCCUGGGAACCUCCAUAUACUGUGGUUCGGCCCUAAAAAGACAAAAAAAAAAAAAAAAAAAAAAGAAAAAAGAAAAGAAAAGAAAUCCCCAUGGAUUUGAAGGAUUGGAGGAAUGGGGCACCUGCAGAUCGUGUGCUAGACAGAUAGGUGGUGGAGGUCAGGAUGGAAUGUGUCCAAAAGAUUAUGAAAAUGCAUCUAAAAUCUUAGGGUUGUAUCUGGCACAAGGCAGAUACUCAAUAAUAAAUAGCUAUUGAUUGGAAUUCAUAAUAAUUUAUCUAGAAACUUUGAGGCCAGGUAUUUUUAAAAUACAAAAUUUAGGAGUUCCUGUUGUGGCUUAGCAGGUUACAAGCCCAGCUAGUAUCCAUGAGGAUUCAGGUUCAAUCCCUGGCCUCCCUCAGUUGGUUAAGGCUCACGUUGCGGUGAGCUGUGGUGUAGGUCACAGAUAUGGCUAGGAUCCCAUGUUUCUGUGGCUGUGGCAUAGGUCUCAGCUGUAGCUCUGAUUUGACCCCUAGCCUGGAACUUCCAUAUGCUGUGGGUGUGGCCCUUAAAAAAAAAAAAAGACUGGGCCUAUGUUUUGUAUUAAUAAAUUUAUUUUGAUUGACUAUUAUGAUCCUGCUUAAACUGGUAACAGAAGAUUUUAAAACUUUUUCCCAAAUCAAUCACAAAUAUGUUAGUAUCUAUCAAAUUUGGUGCAACCUCACAGGUCAAAUAAGUUAGAACAAGGUUGGGCUGAGUUCAUACAAAGUUUUAAUGAAAGUACUUAUGAAAUGCUGCAUUAUGUAAUUAAAUUCAUUUAUUUUAUAAUGGUUGAGUGUUUCCUAGUAAUGUUAAGCCAUGACUUGCUUUGGUGAUUGGAUGAGGCUGGUUUUUAAUUUAAUGCAUAAUGUCAUUUGCAUAUUGUGUGCUUAUAAAAUGCUGAGAAAGUGUCCUUGCAAUAGAUUAAAUACAUCCUUGCUUUUGGUUGCUCUAUUCAUUAUCAUAAACAAAUCCUUUGUAGGUGCAACAAAGAUAAAUUUCAGUCCAGCUUUGUCCAAUUAUCACAUAUUCUCCAAGGAAGCGUUCCAAUAUGGAGCUUGCUUUCUGGAAAUGAGCACAGUUGUAAAGAAUGGAGCAAAACUCCAGAUACUGAUAAAUAGAAUGUUUUGCAUUUUCUAUUAUAUUUUCUGGAAAUAAUGGUAAGAUAUAACUAGUUUAAAGCAAAAAGGCCCCAGGCUCUUCCCCAAUCCAUCUUCAGCCCAGUUCGUGCCACUGAGUUUCUGCCCACAUAUCUAAUUGUAUUGAUCCUGGAUUUGAGAUUGACUCAACGAUGUGUUUGCACUUCUUUUACUCAAUGGUUUUUCUCCUUCACGUGCUCUUGGCACCCUUCCCUUUCUUUUUGCUUAGCUCAAUGCUAUGCAUGCUUUAAUACCUGGGUUAGGUGACAUCAUUUUUAGGAAAGUCUUUCCUAUUUCCAUCCACCAACAUUCCCAAGGCUAGCGUGGGUAUCUUUCAUAAGUGCUCUUGUGGUUAACACCAUGUAUUCCCCAUUGUAGAGUGUAUCUCUCUCUUCUCUUUUUUGUCUUUCGUCUUUUUUUAGAGCUGCACCCGCAGCGUAUGGAGGUUCCCAGGCUAGGAGUCCAAACGGAGCUGCAGCCGCUGCCUUACACCACAGCCACAGCAACGCAGGAUCCUUAACCCACUGAUCGAGGCCAGGGGUUGAACCUGUGUCCUCAUGGAUGCUAGUCAGAUUCGUUUCUGCUGAGCCACGACAGGAACUCCUAUAGUGUGUACCUCUUUAGCGUCCACGAAGUUGUCUUGAUCCCUCACUAGGCCAUCGAGUGAGGAUCGAGUGUGUCUCACACCAUUGCUUCUUCAGGGCCUCCCUGUCUUAAGCUAACUAAAGGUUAAGUUUAUGGUUCCAGAAGGAGGCCUUCAUACUACAACCCCCGGAACACAAAGCAAGAUUUAAUCCCACUCAGCUCUUCUAGAGGCCAAAGAAAGGAGGUGGUUCCCUGGCUGGAGAGAGAAGUAUUACAGUUCCUCAGCACUCCAUGUCAAAGGAAGAUGGAGUUGUCCUUGCAUCUAAUUGGUCUGGGGAACUAGGCCCUUUUUCUAGCUGGGAGAGAGAGCAUUCUUCUUAGGAGGCCUCAACAAGUCAAAGAGGAAAAGGGAUAUAAGAAAAAGAUUCCUGAAUAAUACAACAGAUAUUUUCCAAGCACCUAUCCAAACAGUAUAUGGCCAUGUCUGUCUAGAGUUAUCCUCUUUGGAGCCUAGUUGCUCUAAAGAAAUACUAAAGAGACUCAGGUCAAAUAAGAUGACUAUCUGGCCUUAUUUACAGGGUCAGCUGUGUGCACCUCUGAUCUUAUUAAGAAAGGGGUUCAGGAGUCAUCUGGUGGCCUAGUGGUUAAGGAUCUGGCAUUAUCACUGUUGUAGUUUGGGCCACUGCUAUGGCACGGGUUCAGUGCCUGGCCCAGGAGAUUCCAUAUGCCAUGGUUG